ACACGUCUGGCACGUCUUCUGACUUUCGCCAUCUUGCUUUUUUCCUGUCCAUGAGCAUCUCCGCUGUGCAAAAUCAUUACUGACGCAAAUUGACAACAAAUAUUAAUCGAGCCAUCUACACAGGCAAAUAAAAAUGGCUACAUACACUUGCCACAUAAAAAUUGCUCGUGUAAAUGGGGUCUUACUUAGCAUUUCCAAGCUAGGACGAACCGGUUUACUCUUGAUUACAAAGCACUGAUAUUGCUACUCAAGCAAAAAGGUGGUAGUGCCGACAAAUAUAGCAAUGAACUUUGCAAGCGAGGAUUGGACACAUGCAGAGUGCUGUGUAUUCUGCAAAGUUAUGAAGGAAUGUGCCUGUCCUGAUGUUCCUCGUGGGGAAGCCUUUGGUGAGUGUUUCCCAAAGAGCAAAGCAAAUAUUGG
This is a long non-coding RNA of Stylophora pistillata, 420 nucleotides long. Lineage: Eukaryota; Metazoa; Cnidaria; Anthozoa; Scleractinia; Pocilloporidae. The record is from RefSeq and is a predicted model, not a curated record.